RNAcentral lists this non-coding RNA (46 nucleotides) under Schistosoma margrebowiei. Lineage: Eukaryota; Metazoa; Platyhelminthes; Trematoda; Strigeidida; Schistosomatidae. The record is from RNAcentral.
UGACUGCUGAGGAGUCCCAUACUAGGACGAAACGGUUGUCCAGUGC